Molecule: non-coding RNA, 107 nt
Organism: Pelobates cultripes (western spadefoot toad)
Lineage: Eukaryota; Metazoa; Chordata; Amphibia; Anura; Pelobatidae
Source: the annotation of a GenBank genome assembly
CGGCCAAUCUCCAGCAGACCCUCCCUCCCAGACCCUCCUACUUCCUGGACAGCAUCCAUGGAUGCUGUCCAGGAAGUAGGAGGGUCUGGGAGGGAGGGUCUGCUGGA